AAAAGUUUAUACGACAAGAAUAUUUAAUAAGGAUUAUGCCUCGGCGAAAGAAAAGACGAAGAAGUGGAUGUCGAACAAAUUACAAACCAUUGCAAGAUGGG
Molecule: long non-coding RNA, 101 nt
Organism: Octopus sinensis (East Asian common octopus)
Lineage: Eukaryota; Metazoa; Mollusca; Cephalopoda; Octopoda; Octopodidae
Exons: 3
Source: RefSeq, a predicted model, not a curated record